CCAGACUCCUACGGGAGGCAGCAGUGGGGAAUAUUGCACAAUGGGGGAAACCCUGAUGCAGCGACGCCGCGUGAGGGAGGACGGUCUUCGGAUUGUAAACCUCUGUCUUUGGGGAAGAAAUCAGACGGUACCCAAAGAGGAAGCUCCGGCUAACUACGUGCCAGCAGCCGCGGUAAUACGUAGGGAGCGAGCGUUGUCCGGAAUUACUGGGUGUAAAGGGAGCGUAGGCGGGCUUGUAAGUUGAAUGUCCAAUCCACCGGCUCAACCGGUGAUCGCGCUCAAAACUGCAGGUCUUGAGUGAAGUAGAGGCAGGCGGAAUUCCUAGUGUAGCGGUGAAAUGCGUAGAUAUUAGGAGGAACACCAGUGGCGAAGGCGGCUUACUGGACUGUAACUGACGUUGAGGCUCGAAAGCGUGGGGAGCAAACAGGAUUAGAUACCCCCGUA
This 444-nucleotide ribosomal RNA is filed under the name uncultured bacterium. RNAcentral describes it as "bacterial SSU rRNA". It matches the Rfam family "Bacterial small subunit ribosomal RNA", at positions 331 to 792 of the family's 1533-position model. The record is from RNAcentral.